UUGUACUAACUACCUUAAACCGGAUUUAUAUUAAGGUAUCAUGUGAUUAAUUGUACCAUACUAUCGACUAAGUAACACGACAAAUGUAGGUCGUAAAAAGGUAUGACGUUUGGCACCCGCAGACCUGCAGGUCCGGCUGUAGCUAGCAGCAAGGUGUAGGAUAGUCAAUCCAGUAUAGAUCUAUACGCAAACUCACGCUCUCCCUCCAAGAGACUCUGGCUACAACUCGGGCCAUGACAUUGAAGGCAUGCUCCGAUACAGUGGAUCACAAUUUUGUUAACGUAUUCAUGUAUAUGUAAUGUAUUGAUACUCGUUCUAGUAUAGUUGUAUAUGUUCUUCUUCUAGUAUAAUUGUAUAUGUUCUCUUUCUAGAUCUAUCUAUGUAAAUGUAAUCAUGUAAACAUAUCUAUGUAAUAGUAUAGUAAUGUACUGUAAUGUUCUACGUGUGCUAGCUGUAAUGUGUGUUCUUUCUCUACCUAGCAUGUAUAGUAAUAUACUGUGUGUACUACUUGUAAUGUAUGUUCUCUUUAUCUAGCAAGUAUUGACUGAUGAAUGAACUGACUCAUUGUAUGAUAUCGCGUUCUAGUAAUAGUUCUAGUAUCUUCCUAAACUACCCAUAUGGUAGCUUACUAGUAAUUUAACUGGUACGUAUGAACAUGGAUGUAUACCCUUGCUACCCAAGGGCAUUGGAUGAACUGGAAGGACCUUUAUGACUAUAUAUGUACAUAUGAUAUAUAACUAAUAUUUAAACAACCUUCGGACGGAUACCCGAUGUCCCACCAGACCACAUCUCAAGCGCGAAAAGGAAAUAGGGUGGAUAGCCUUCCUAAGUCUUUUAAACAUUUCUUAUAUAACUAUACAUAUAUAGGCAUGCAAUUGAUAAUAUAAAAGCAUAAAAUAAGUUUUGUAAAACAUUUGAACAUAAUUAUUAUCUAAGAAAAGAUCGACUUGAUGUCAAUCUAUAAAACGGUUUGAAGGCAUGGGUUUGAUAAAAGAGUUUAAGUAUAAAGAAACAUUUGUUUGAAUCACAAUUAUAAAUGAGCUUGAAAUUAAACAUACGGAGUUAAAUGUACAGUUAAAUAAGUACCUUUAAACAUAUAAAGUGUUUAUGAAAAACAUUUGAAGGAAACUGUUUGGUAAAACGCCUAAUGAGUAGCCAAUCAUUUGAAUGCUGCUUAUUAAUCACAUGUGAUUGAUAUAAUAAGUAGCAUGAUUCUACUUGUAUCCCCCCAUAAAACAUUUAAAANUUUAAGACAUUGAUUAAGGGGUAUGAACUCACCUGUAGCAAGUGGAUCGGAUGGAAGUGUCGGAUAAGUGCUUGGUGUCAAGUGAAGACUUAGACACGCACAAAGAUCCUAAUUACAUAUGAGGACAUAUGUAUAUAAACAAUUACUCUUUAAACAACUAAUAAACAAGUGAAGACACUCUAGGAUAUGAAAAAAACUUUGUAUAAGUGUUAUAAGUGCUAAGGGGUGCAUCUAAGUGUUGUAGGGAAAGGCAAGUGUGUUUGGCGUUCAAGGAACACUCCUAAAAUGAGUUUACUCCCUAAAGACCAACACCCCAUGAGUUUACGGUCGUAAACUCUUGAGUUUAUGGUCGUAAACUCCUAACCUUUUGACCAUUUGUUGUUUUGAAGUCUUCUAAGCUAUUCCAAGCAUUCCUACUUCAUGAUUUAGCCUUAGGAAGUGUUGUGUGGCAUCAAAACACUCCUAAAUGGAGUUUACGGUCUAAGGACCAUUUCUCCAUGAGUUUACUACCUUAAACUCAUGAGUUUACUACCUUAAACUCAUGAGUUUACUACCUUAAACUCGUGAGUUUACUACCUUAAACUCAUAAGUUUGGUAUUUGGCGGUUUUCAAGUCCUUAGCUCAAACAUGGCAAUAGUCCAGGUUAGAUUUAGACAUAAGCAACAACCGUGGGACAUUUAUGGGACUUUUCACAUCAUUUGGGGUGUUUACGGUUUUGGGAGAUCCCUAAACCGUAAACACAUAAAAAUGUAUGAUUUUGGUGCUUUUUGUGUGAUAAACUCAUCAAGGAUGAAUCUAGAAAGUCCCUAAGGCAUUGUGAAGCAUCUAGGCACCUUAACACACCAUUUUGGCCCUAUUUUUGGUGUUUACGGUUUUGAGACCUCCCAAAACCGUGAACACCUUUAUCUUGGUGUUCUUGGGACUUUUCUUUGGUAUAAACAUGCAUAGCUAGCUUUAAAUGACUCUAGGAUAGAAGUACUUACAUAAGGAAGCUUGAAUUGAGCUAAAAGUCCAAGAACACUUAGUGUGUGUUCUUGGUGUUCUUGGUGUUUUUGGAAAACUAAUCAAAACACAAAAAUGGAUGGAUUAAUGGAUGUACAAUCACUAGAUUAAGUGAUAUACUAACUUGAAAGGGCUAGAAACACUUACUAGACUGAAGAUUUUGAAUAAAAACUUGGAUGAUACUUGAGAGGAUAUUUUGGAGUUUACUCUUUUGGUGUUUGGGGAGUAAACACAAGAAUGACUAGUCUUGGGCAGUAAACUCAUGUUUAUGCAUGAGUUUACGAUUUUUGGAUGAUUAUUCGACCCAAAGUUAAAAGUUUGGCCGCGAACUUCUAAGACACGAGGUGUUUGCGGUUUUUAAAUUUCAAAACCCGAGACGGCACUUUCUUUCACCCGUUCAUUUAAAGAUUAAUUAUUAAAAUAAUCAAAUGAACUUAUUUUUCCCAAAAAUAAGUAAAAGUGAACUGGACUUAUAAUAUGAAGUGAUCGACUGCUAGGGUUUGACUGAAUGAAAAUUUCGAGUUGUCACAUCAUCCCCCUGUUAAAGGGAAUUUCGUCCCGAAAUUAGAAUUUAGGUAAGGAAGUAGGCAUGAAUGAUUGAUUCAUGAGGUGGAAACUUUCUAAUCGAUUGGUUCUCGCGCUCCGAAGUGAAAUCGGGUCGUCGGUUGGUAUUCCAACGAACCUUGACUAAAUGGCGACGGCGUUGCUUCGUCCGCUUGACCUCUCGGUUGAGGGUCAGUAUGGUUCUAAUGCAAAGGCGAGGAUCUCGACGAGUGGAUUUACAAGAGUCCUAACGGAAAGGUAUGGUUUCAAAAUCGAGACGCGAAGAGUAUAAUGUAUGCUACUGAGUUCGCGGAGUAGGUCUAGUUUGCGAGGUACAAGACCGAUUCUGGUAAGAAUCUCGGAGGUCCUGACUAUCUUGGAUUUAGCUUUCCACGUGAAGCGAAGCGUAUUAAGCCAUUCCCAGAGUGGGUUUUCCUAAUGGACUUGGUCUCUCACUUGGAAUCUCCAAAGUUUCUUUUUCUUGUUUAACUUCCCAGUCGGGGGCCACCCCCUGUUGGGUCAAAGUCGUAAAGGUUUCUGUGAUUUGCGAGGAGUUCUGGAUGAUCUAUGAAAGUAGGUCUGUAAGAACUAGAAUUUGGCGAAUUUCUAUCGGCGGCUCUGGUGUCGACCAAUUCUCAAAGGUUUUGAUAAAUUGACAGAGUACUCAAGAAUUUCCACAUCACUAAUAGUGUGUCAUAGUAAAUUUUGAAUCUUCAAUUCCAAAACUCAUGUUUAGAGAACUUUGCGAAAAGUAUUUCCAAGGGCAAUGUUUCCAUGGGUUCUUUCUUACUACGAGGGUAGAUAAGUAAGUCAUUACAUGGAGAAAUGAUGAACUGAUCCAAGUAAGAAAGACGUACCCUACUCAUUUAGCUCACGAAUACUAUGGGCGUAUUGGUCCUAUCCGAGGGGUAUCACUACGGACUCGAAGUGUCUGCAUUGCGUUCGGAAGGUAGUCUUUCGGACAUCCUUCCUUCACACUCAAACUGGUGAUAUUCGGAUCUCAUGUCCAUUUCUGAAAGUAAUUCUUUCCUUGUGUUUGCUCAACUAAUUCAUCUAGGCAAGGCAGAGACAACGAUUUCUAAUGGAAAAUCUUGACAGAGUCCUCGAUAUCUGAGGUACAUAUGAUGCAAUCCGUCGACCUCUAGAAGAAUAAGACCGGAGUUCUCCAGGGUGAGAUGCCUAGUCUUCUAAUUUUAUUUUCUGUGUAGUUUGCUAAGUUUUCUGGGCUGUUCUUGUAUCUCUGUAGGUGUUUAGACUAUUGGGCGAUCUGUUUACAGGAGUCAUACUGGGUUCUAAGUUUGUUCACAUGACGAUGCGAUUACUCGUAGUCUUAGGCAGUUUCCAUCCUGAAGUUCAUAUUAGAAUUCAUACAUGGUUUCACAAUAACAAUCUCAUGUAUAUGACUCAUAUAUAAUUAAGAUUGAAAAGGUAGUCGAAUAAUUGAUUCCUCUUUAAGCACACAUCCUAUCAAGGAAAAAGAAGUUAAAGUGGAAUCAUCAAUUCUAAACCUGUAGAACCUUGACUAUAUAUCACUCUUAUGUAUACAUUCUCAAUGAUAGAUCAACCGUAUGAAUCCUUGAAUUGAACUUGACGUACUGCACGAGUGGUACUUCGGGGAUUUCUUCAGAAAAGAAAAGAACUAUGAGGUACUCCUCUCAUGAGUACUUCGGUGUUUUGAUAUGACAGCUUCGUUGGAAAGGCGAUUUCGAAGAAAGAGAUGUACGUCUGAAGCUGAUUUUGUGAGGAUCAAAUUGAAUCGAGUCGUAUGAUAAUGUCGGAAUCAUACAUAAACUUAAAGACAUUAGAUUUGAACAUAAGACGUUACAGACAAAACACAACUGUGCGACCAUCAACAGAGUUACAGCACUUUAGGCUUACUACAAGACUAUUGUUGCGAAUAAGAUAUACCACAAAAGACAAGUAUACGCAGCACAGGGGUCCCUUAACUGACGGGCUCCCUCAAAAGGUAACACUCGGGUCACACUAAAUUAUAAUGGUUUAUAAGUUUGUUACAAUGAAAUGCCUUAAUUAUUAAUGAGGGUCCAACGUAGUUUCUCUUGCAGCUGUGAUCCUAAGAAUCUUCCCAUCAGCACCCGAGUUCUUCGCUAUCGGGCAAUCCUUCUUGAGGUGUCCAAUUUCACCGCAUUGGUGACAUAUCUGGAUAGCACCAACAUUGGUGGUGGAAGUGAGGUGUUUAGCCAGUGUUAUGUGGACACGAGUUCCUUCCUCAUUACUCCACCUUGGAAAUUGCUUCCUAAAUGUUCGGCUUUAUCACUACUUUUGUGUGUAGGGUUGGUCCCGGUGACCGGGACUUAAGUGAUGGGUCGUGCUGGUGCUCCACAGUUACGAGCAUGGUGCCUUAUUUCUAGGCAAUUGCAACAUUGCAUCUCAUGGCAAGCCCCAUGAUGAUGGAAACUACACUUAUCACACUUCGGGAGCUUUCCUUUGUAUGGCCUGCUCGAUACGGGGAUGGCAGGGGUUUCCACUUGUUGUUGUUGCAUGGCCAGUUUUUGGGAUUUCUUGCAUUCUUUCUGGGCUUGGAGCUUUCGUUUCUUGUUCUCUGCUUUUCGGCUUUACGAGCCUAUGACUAUUACCGUUUGACGACUUCUUGGAUAGAUACAAAGAUUGGAAACUUCAACCCCCUCCUCAGCAUUGAUUCUGCUGAUAGCGCUACGGUGCGCAAGGACAGCGGUUACGGUAGCCAUCACGGCAGCUGUAACUUCGGUUUAGAAGGUAGCAGCGUCCAUAGGAAAGGCAGGGGUUUCGUUGCUCGGUUGAUUGCUUCCGGAUGACGACAUGAUUCUGUAACACGAAAGAUAAGAAUUUUGUGAGUGAUUCUGGUUUAUCCUAGGUGUACUUCGAUUACUCAAUCAAAGAGUAAGAGUAUGUUCUAGGAAGGGUUGACCUACAUCCUUAUGAUGCAGUCCUAAUACGGAUUGGAAGUAUGUUCGCGAAGGUUUGACCUACAUCCCCAUGAUGCAGUCCUAGUACUGAGUGAAAGUGAGUUUGUGAAGGGUUGACGUACAUACCUAUGAUGCAGUCCUAGCAAUGAGUGGAAGUAAGUUCGUAGAAUGGUCUUAAGACGUUUGUCAUUCAAGCCGAGGUAUCGAUGGUUGGUGAAUAACAAGAUCCAACCACUGAAAGAGACUUGGAAAUGUCUUCGGAGUUAAAUUACUAUAGUCCAAUGACUUGACUAAAGCAUGUUUCAGAUAGGCUCCAAUGAAAGUAUGAUAAGAGUACUUGGAUAAAGAAUGACACAGAAGUUAGCUGACUGUCAAUAUCUUUGAUAUUCAUGAUGUAAAAGUUCGGGAAAAUGACCUUGUAAAAGGUCUUACAUCAUAUCCAGAGAAGAUAGUCCUUGACAGCAUAAAGACCUAACCAAUAGUACUUACAGUACAAGAUAGUUUCAUAGAAAAUGCCACAUCGGGCAUAGACAGAAAAACAAUUUCUUCAUAACAAGGAAAAUAAAGUAAGGCAUUUACUACUGGCGACGGUCAUCCCUCUGGUGAACUCUCAUUUCAGCCAGUUGACGUUCCACAUCUAGUAGGUGUCUUUCGUACACCUUCUGGCAUACGCGGAGUUCCAUCACUUCUGCUCGUGAUUCAGCCAGAGCUUGAAGCAGGGCUUCAUGGUUUCUCUUAGAUCUCUCACGAUCAUCUUCUAGACGAAUGGCGCGGAGGGUAUGCAUUCUCACAUCGGCGAAAACAUCGGUGAUCUGAUGUAGGGCUGUCCUGCCUUGAAUCUCAUUUCGGGCCACUCUGCAGACCAAGAUUGGCAAGAUUCUAUCUGUUGAGCCCCCAUUGCUUAGGUCAUAAAAGCUUCGGUCACCAUCAAAUGCCAUGGGUUGAUCUUGUCCUUGGCUCCAUGUUUCCAAGUAUUCCACCCAUGGAGGCGUCGGGCCUUGAAAAGCCAGACGAAGGUUAGGAAUUGGAACGGGAGCUGCCUGGGGUAGGUUCUCAACCUCGGGUUCAGAUUUAGCACCGUCCGAAAGGUUUUCAUCAUGGUGAUCAUUCAAAGGGAAAGGAUGAUCAUUAAUUGGUUCUUCUUCAAACCAUCAGGCAAUGACCUCAUUCGGAAGGUACUGGUUGCCGUGGGGAUGGAGUCCGUCCAUGUUAUUUACGCGAGAAUUGGGGUAAGAAAAUAAUUAUUAGACGAACUAUCUAGAUAAUUAUUCAGAAAGUCUUCAUUAGUUACAUCGCUAUUUGUGAAGUGCAUACCGGUUAUAUGUAACCGAAACAGGAUAGGCCUUCGAAUAAGUGACCUUACCUCCAAAUUCACACAGAAUAGGGGUAAGGUAAAAUUUUCAUAGAUUCUAAGUCUAUAACAUCCUAAUUACAUAUAGCCUUAGUGUAUCCACUUAGCAACUAUCAACUUGGUAAUGAAGAUCCCGCUUUAGUUCUCAAGUAUAAAGUACUUAUAGUAACACCAAAUACCCCUAUAGUAUUUUAAGUUUAAUGUUAUGUUCUACUGCUCUCAUUGUGGUAUUGUUGGUAAGAUUUUAGACUUGUUGCAACCACACAACUACACUUAGGCACAUGCUAGUCAACCCUUGGAUAAUAUAGGUGAUCAAGCUAUAUCUUCCCAGUUUUGACCAUAUGUCUCUAAGCCCACUUGUGUUGCCCAACAAUCGUAAUUCUUUUGUACUGUCCUAGUGACACUGAUUUUAGUAUGAAUGCAGCACGUAUACUUACUUAAAUAUUUUACUAUUUAAAGUAUAAACUCUUGGUCAGAGUAUUUUUAAUCCCUAUGUAUUUAUAGUUAGUAUAUCUUUUAUGGGUUGAUAUACUUAAUUCACUAUAAACAAUGCUCUGAUACCAAUCUGUCACACCCCAAAACCAUGAACGGCGGAAACGUUCUGGGGCGGAGGACGUCAUGUACAGUAUCACAACAAUGAAAAGUAGUAAAGAAGAAAGAACAUCAAACAUUGCAUUAACAAUAUAAUUUUAAUACAAGUGUUCUGUCAAGUUAUAAUAGACACUAAAGUCUAAACAAAAUGAAAGAUGAGUCUUGAACGAGCUCCAUCUUCUCUAAACCUUGCAUCGGUACCUGUCUACUAUUGACCUGAGGAUACAAGUUAUUAUGAAAGAGAGUAUCAGCUUUAAAGCUGGUGAGAUCAUAAGUAUUAAUGUGUCUUAAUUUGUAUGUAAGUAUUUGUUUGACAUGUAAUGAAUAACUAGAAAAUGUUUUGAAAGAAAGUUCGUGUAAGUAUGAAAAUGUUUGUAAAACAACUGUAAACGUUUGAAAAACCCUAGAAAUCCCUAUAAUUUCUACUAUAUUAAAAGGGAGUCUUCUACCAAGACCCAACUAUUCUAAAUGUAGUCUUCUACCAAGACUUAACUAUUUUGUAUGUUCGUUUCUUGUAAAAGUGUGUAAUUUUCCCCAAGUGUAACUAUCAUUAACAAAAUAUAGUUUGUACAUUAAUGUUUAAGUGAAAUAAUCACUAACUAUAUGCAAAGGGUAAAUUAAUGUAGGACUGUAGUGUUGUAUUAUAGGAACUACUGCUGUACUAACUACCUUAAACCGGAUUUAUAUUAAGGUAUCAUGUGAUUAAUUGUACCAUACUAUCGACUAAGUAACACGACAAAUUUAGGUCGUAAAAAGGUAUGACAUUUGGCACCCGGAGACCUGCACGUCCGGCUAUAGCUAGCAGCAAGGUGUAGGAUAGUCAAUCCAGUAUAGAUCUAUACGCAAACUCACGCUCUCCCUCCAAGAG
RNAcentral lists this long non-coding RNA (8504 nucleotides) under Lactuca sativa (garden lettuce). RNAcentral's name for it is "long non-coding RNA (LSAT_LNC008381)". The record is from RNAcentral. Lineage: Eukaryota; Viridiplantae; Streptophyta; Magnoliopsida; Asterales; Asteraceae.